Molecule: ribosomal RNA, 788 nt
Filed under: uncultured Marmoricola sp.
Lineage: Bacteria; Bacillati; Actinomycetota; Actinomycetes; Propionibacteriales; Nocardioidaceae
Description: bacterial SSU rRNA
Rfam family: Bacterial small subunit ribosomal RNA
Source: RNAcentral
AGAGUUUGAUCAUGGCUCAGGACGAACGCUGACGGUGUGCUUUAGACAUGCAAGUCGAACGCGAAAGGGGCUUCGGCCCUGAGUAGAGUGGCAAACGGGUGAGUAACACGUGGGUGACCUACCUUCAAGUGGGGGAUAACGUUCCGAAAGGAACGCUAAUACCGCAUAUUGUCCCGCCUUUAGACAGGCGACGAUGAAAGCCGGGGAUCGCAAGACCUGGCGCUAGGAGAGGGGCCCGCGUCCGAUUAGCUAGUUGGUGGGGUAAUGGCUCACCAAGGCGACGAUCGGUAGCCGGCCUGAGAGGGCGGACGGCCACACUGGCACUGAGACACUGGCCCGACUCCUACGGGAGGCUGCAGUCGAGGAUCUUCGGCAAUGGGCGCAAGCCUGACCGAGCGACGCCGCGUGUGCGAUGAAGGCCUUCGGGUUGUAAACCUCUUUCACCCAUGACGAAGCGAAAGUGACGGUAGUGGGAGAAGAAGCACCGGCCAACUACGUGCCAGCAGCCGCGGUAAUACGUAGGGUGCAAGCGUUGUCCGGAAUUAUUGGGCGUAAAGGGCUCGUAGGCGGUUUGUCGCGUCGGGAGUGAAAACUCAGGGCUUAACCCUGAGCCUGCUUCCGAUACGGGCAGACUAGAGGUAUGCAGGGGAGAAUGGAAUUCCUGGUGUAGCGGUGAAAUGCGCAGAUAUCAGGAGGAACACCGGUGGCGAAGGCGGUUCUCUGGGCAUUACCUGACGCUGAGGAGCGAAAGUGUGGGGAGCGAACAGGAUUAGAUACCCCGGUAGUCC